GGGUAGGGGAGCGUUCUGUAAGCCUGUGAAGGUGUGUCGUGAGGCAUGCUGGAGGUAUCAGAAGUGCGAAUGCUGACAUAAGUAACGAUAAAGCGGGUGAAAAGCCCGCUCGCCGGAAGACCAAGGGUUCCUGUCCAACGUUAAUCGGGGCAGGGUGAGUCGACCCCUAAGGCGAGGCCGAAAGGCGUAGUCGAUGGGAAACGGGUUAAUAUUCCCGUACUUGGUGUUACUGCGAAGGGGGGACGGAGAAGGCUAUGUUGGCCGGGCGACGGUUGUCCCGGUUUAAGCGUGUAGGUGUGUGUUCCAGGUAAAUCCGGUUCACUUUAACACUGAGGCGUGAUGACGAGGCACUACGGUGCUGAAGCAACAAAUGCCCUGCUUCCAGGAAAAGCCUCUAAGCAUCAGGUAACAUCAAAUCGUACCCCAAACCGACACAGGUGGUCAGGUAGAGAAUACCAAGGCGCUUGAGAGAACUCGGGUGAAGGAACUAGGCAAAAUGGUGCCGUAACUUCGGGAGAAGGCACGCUGACACGUAGGUGAAGUGAUUUACUCAUGGAGCUGAAGUCAGUCGAAGAUACCAGCUGGCUGCAACUGUUUAUUAAAAACACAGCACUGUGCAAACACGAAAGUGGACGUAUACGGUGUGACGCCUGCCCGGUGCCGGAAGGUUAAUUGAUGGGGUCAGCGCAAGCGAAGCUCCUGAUCGAAGCCCCGGUAAACGGCGGCCGUAACUAUAACGGUCCUAAGGUAGCGAAAUUCCUUGUCGGGUAAGUUCCGACCUGCACGAAUGGCGUAAUGAUGGCCAGGCUGUCUCCACCCGAGACUCAGUGAAAUUGAACUCGCUGUGAAGAUGCAGUGUACCCGCGGCAAGACGGAAAGACCCCGUGAACCUUUACUAUAGCUUGACACUGAACAUUGAGCCUUGAUGUGUAG
RNAcentral lists this ribosomal RNA (933 nucleotides) under Salmonella enterica. RNAcentral's name for it is "partial 23S ribosomal RNA". It matches the Rfam family "Bacterial large subunit ribosomal RNA", at positions 1226 to 2141 of the family's 2925-position model. Lineage: Bacteria; Pseudomonadati; Pseudomonadota; Gammaproteobacteria; Enterobacterales; Enterobacteriaceae. The record is from RNAcentral.